Ipomoea nil (Japanese morning glory) is the source of this 360-nucleotide long non-coding RNA. RefSeq lists it as uncharacterized. The record is from RefSeq and is a predicted model, not a curated record. Lineage: Eukaryota; Viridiplantae; Streptophyta; Magnoliopsida; Solanales; Convolvulaceae. The transcript is spliced from 2 exons.
CAUAAUCUUGCUGUCUUCUGUCUAAUGCUCCGUAACCGUAAUUAGUCUUAUCUCACCCAAUUGUAGUACAAACACAAGGGAAAACCAUGAGUGGGAGUACACAUGUACAAUCUUGUACUUCUUCACUACUCAUCUUGUGCAUAGCCCAUGUACUAACAUAGAUUGAGAUUGAUUCGGAUCGAGUCUUGGUCAGACUCCAUUCAAGAGUGAUUCUCACAAGGCAUUGCUGCAUACGUGCACCAUGUUCUCUUUUAGUUGAACUAUUUGUUAUUCUUUUAUAUAAAAUAAUUCACGAUUGAAUUAUUGCUGAACUUUCUAUAAGAUUAUUACUAAUAAUAACAUUUUGAAGACUUAUUGUCA